Molecule: long non-coding RNA, 106 nt
Organism: Sander lucioperca (pikeperch)
Lineage: Eukaryota; Metazoa; Chordata; Actinopteri; Perciformes; Percidae
Exons: 3
Source: RefSeq, a predicted model, not a curated record
UGUUUGAAGCCCAGCUCUGCGCGCUAAGAACCUCCGCCGGCCGAGCCGGCUACUUCCAGUUUAACGCUCCGCUAACUUGAAUGGGGAUUAAAUGAUUUCAUUGUGC